This 301-nucleotide ribosomal RNA is filed under the name uncultured bacterium. RNAcentral describes it as "partial 16S ribosomal RNA". It matches the Rfam family "Bacterial small subunit ribosomal RNA", at positions 509 to 807 of the family's 1533-position model. The record is from RNAcentral.
CAGUAGCCGCGGUAAUACGUAGGGUGCAAGCGCUAAUCGGAAUUACUGGGCGUAAAGCGUGCGUAGGCGGUUUGUUAAGUCUGUUGUGAAAUCCCCGGGCUCAACCUGGGAAUGGCAAUGGAUACUGGCAAGCUAGAGUGUGUCAGAGGAUGGUGGAAUUCCCGGUGUAGCGGUGAAAUGCGUAGAGAUCGGGAGGAACAUCAGUGGCGAAGGCGGCCAUCUGGGACAACACUGACGCUGAGGCACGAAAGCGUGGGGAGCAAACAGGAUUAGAUACCCCGGUAGUCCCUGUCUCUUAUAC